GUCCCUAUAGCUUAACCCAAAGCAUGACACUGAAGAUGCCAAGAUGGCUGCUCCUGCACCUAGGGACA
RNAcentral lists this transfer RNA (68 nucleotides) under Chaetura pelagica (chimney swift). Its description in RNAcentral is "tRNA-Phe". It matches the Rfam family "tRNA". Rfam says of the family: Transfer RNA (tRNA) molecules are approximately 80 nucleotides in length. The record is from RNAcentral. Lineage: Eukaryota; Metazoa; Chordata; Aves; Apodiformes; Apodidae.